Molecule: long non-coding RNA, 287 nt
Filed under: Trifolium pratense (red clover)
Lineage: Eukaryota; Viridiplantae; Streptophyta; Magnoliopsida; Fabales; Fabaceae
Description: long non-coding RNA (TPRA_LNC005814)
Source: RNAcentral
AUAAAUCUAAACCAACAAAACCACAUCUCCUAAAUGAGAAUUUUAGAAAUUAAAACCACAAAUCAAAUGACAAAUCAAAAGAGAGAGAGGAGAGACCUUCGAGAGAGUGGGCCGGUGCAAACUGAGCGGUGGUGGUCGUUGGAUGGGAGAACAACGGUGGGCGAUUGACAAGGAGAAGAGAGCUAGGGUUGCGUGAAAGAUGAAACAAAAAUGAUGGUAAGAGGUCGCGUGAAAGAGAAAUAGGUGAUGGUAUUUUUGUGAAAGAGAAGUAGGGGAUGGUAUAUUUG